AGGGCGCAUGGCGGAUGCCUUGGCUCUCGGAGGCGAUGAAGGACGUGAUAAGCUGCGAUAAGCUUUGGGGAGGUGCAAAUGACCUUUGAUCCAGAGAUUUCCGAAUGGGACAACCCAAUAUCUUGAAGAGGUAUUAUCCAACGUUGUUGGAGGCUAACGCAGGGAACUGAAACAUCUUAGUACCUGCAGGAAAAGAAAAUAAACAAUGAUUCCCCCAGUAGUGGCGAGCGAACGGGGAACAGCCCAAACCAUCCAUGUUACGGCAUGGGUGGGGUUGUAGGACUACGCCGUUGCAUGAAGACAUCAGAGAAGAACUUUCUGGAAAGAAAGACCAUAGAGCAUGACAGUUGCGUAUUCGAAUGUUGUCGAAGCAUAGUAGUAUCCUGAGUAGCGCGGAGCACGAGGAAUUCUGCGUGAAUCUGCCGGGACCAUCCGGUAAGGCUAAAUACUCCCGAGAGACCGAUAGCGAACCAGUACCGUGAGGGAAAGGUGAAAAGCACUUCGAACAGAAGAGUGAAAUAGUUCCUGAAACCGUGCGCCUACAAGCGGUCGGAGCUCGUUAAUGAGUGACGGCGUGCCUUUUGCAUAAUGAACCUACGAGUUGCCUUUGCCGGCAAGGUUAAGUGUGACGACACACGUAUCCGAAGCGAAAGCGAGUCUGAACAGGGCGUAUAGUCGGCAGUGGCAGACGCGAAACCAAGUGAUCUACCCUUGGCCAGGUUGAAGGCUGGGUAACACCAGCUGGAGGACCGCACCAAUAAGCGUUGAAAAGCUUCUGGAUGAGCUGAGGGUAGGGGUGAAAGGCUAAUCAAACUUGGAGAUAGCUCGUACUCCCCGAAAUGCAUUUAGGUGCAGCCUUUAUUUAGUAUAGCAUGAGGUAGAGCGACUGAUUGGAUGCGAGGGCUUCACCGCCUAUCAAGUCCAGAUAAACUCCGAAUGCGUGCUAUAUAUUGAUAAGGAGUGAGGGCGCGGGUGCUAAGGUCCGCGUCCGAGAGGAGAAGAAUCCAGACCAUCAGCUAAGGUCCCCAAAUAACAGUUAAGUUGAACUAACGAAGUCGGACUGCAGAGACAGCUAGGAUGUUGGCUUGGAAGCAGCCAUUCAUUUAAAGAGUGCGUAACAGCUCACUAGUCGAGCGAUCUGGCGUGGAUAAUAAUCGGGCAUAAACGAUCUGCCGAAGCCGUGGAUGUCGCAAGACAUGGUAGGGGAGCAUUCCAUGCUGCGUCGAAGAUGAGGGAUGACCCUUGUUGGAGCGCAUGGAAAAGCAAAUGUAGGUAUGAGUAACGAUAAGGGGGGCGAGAAACCCCCCCGCCGAAAGACCAAGGUUUCCUGAUCAACGCUAAUCGGAUCAGGGUGAGUCGGGACCUAAGGCAAAGCCGAACGGCGCCGCCGAUGGAAGAAUGGGUUAAUAUUCCCAUACUGCCUCAUGGAGUGACGUGGAGACGGAGAAGUGACAGUCCUGCCGGCUGACGGAAUAGCCGGUUGAAGGGUGUAGAUAUUGAUUCCCGUAGGCAAAUCCGCGGGGAGAGUCGAACCUGAGAGUAUACGGAGCGCUUGCGCAACGUAAUAUGGACGUAACCAUGCUCCCGAGAAAAUCCGCUAAACUUAUCCAUGCGGCACCCGUACCGUAAACGGACACACGUGGUCGGGUUGAGAAUACUGAGGCGCUCGAGUGAUUCACGGUUAAGGAACUAGGCAAAUUGACCCUGUAACUUCGGGAUAAAGGGUCCCUACUGAGAGGUAGGGCGCAGAGAAUAGGUCCAGGCAACUGUUUAACAAAAACACAUGGCUGUGCGAAAUAGAAAUAUGAAGUAUACAGCCUGACACCUGCCCGGUGCUGGAAGGUUAAGAGGAGAUGUCAUCGCAAGAGAAGCAUUGAAUUGAAGCCCCAGUAAACGGCGGCCGUAACUAUAACGGUCCUAAGGUAGCGAAAUUCCUUGUCGGGUAAGUUCCGACCUGCACGAAUGGUGUAAUGAUCUGGACGCUGUCUCAACCGUGAGCUCAGUGAAAUUGUAGUAUCGGUGAAGAUGCCGAUUACCCGCGAUGGGACGAAAAGACCCCGUGAACCUUUACUAUAGCUUAACAUUGAAUUUGGGUAAUUGAUGUGUAGGAUAGGCCGGAGACUUUGAAGCAGGUACGCCAGUAUUUGUGGAGUCGCUGUUGAAAUACGGCCCUUUGAUUAUUUGAGUUCUAACUCGUUGAUGCGAGGACACUGUUUGGUGGGUAGUUUGACUGGGGUGGUCGCCUCCAAAAGUGUAACGGAGGCUUCUAAAGGUGCCCUCAGGACGAUUGGUAACCGUCCGUAGAGUGUAAUGGCAUAAGGGCGCUUGACUGGGAGACAGACAAGUCGAUCAGGUAGGAAACUAGAGCAUAGUGAUCCGGUGGUUCCGCAUGGAAGGGCCAUCGCUCAAAGGAUAAAAGGUACUCCGGGGAUAACAGGCUGAU
This 2443-nucleotide ribosomal RNA is filed under the name human gut metagenome. RNAcentral describes it as "bacterial LSU rRNA". It matches the Rfam family "Bacterial large subunit ribosomal RNA", at positions 14 to 2486 of the family's 2925-position model. The record is from RNAcentral.